Molecule: ribosomal RNA, 495 nt
Filed under: Dendrobaena transylvanica
Lineage: Eukaryota; Metazoa; Annelida; Clitellata; Crassiclitellata; Lumbricidae
Description: Dendrobaena sp. 9 TS-2015 partial 16S ribosomal RNA
Rfam family: Bacterial large subunit ribosomal RNA
Source: RNAcentral
CAAAAACAUUGCUUCAUGAAUCCAUAUAUGAAGUAAUUCCUGCCCAGUGAUUCAACGGCCGCGGUAUCCUAACCGUGCAAAGGUAGCAUAAUCACUUGCCCAUUAAUUGUGGGCUAGAAUGAACGGAAUAACGAAAUAAGAUCUGUCUCUGUAAUCCCCAUAAAAAUUAAUCUUCAAUUGAAGAAUAUUGAAUAACAUUGAAGGACAAGAAGACCCUAUAGAGCUUUAUUUUAUUUGGCAUGUAAGGCCACUGUAAAUUCGGUUGGGGCGACCUGGGAAGUAUUUAAUCAUCCCUUAUAUAAAGAUAAAUAUAUCAUGUCCUUGACCCUUAUAAAAGACCACAAGAACAAGCUACCUUAGGGAUAACAGGCUAAUCCCAUUAAAGAGUCCUUAUUAAUAAUGGGGUUUGGCACCUCGAUGUUGGCUUAGGGAAUCUAUGAGACGCAAAAGUCACAUAAAGAUGGUUUGUUCAACCAAUAAUACCCUACAUGAUCU